UCACGAUAAUAGCAAACUUAUUGAAAAGUAAGGACGCAAAGCCACGGGCCUAAAGUAUGAUUAUGCUAAGGUAGCCGGGUUGCCGAA
RNAcentral lists this non-coding RNA (87 nucleotides) under Halalkalibacter hemicellulosilyticus. Its description in RNAcentral is "Bacillus hemicellulosilyticus c-di-GMP sequence". It matches the Rfam family "c-di-GMP-I riboswitch aptamer". From Rfam's summary of the family: GEMM was predicted in a large-scale screen for bacterial structured RNA regulatory elements. Genes associated with GEMM are involved in a diverse array of functions, including chemotaxis regulation, signal transduction, secretion and chitin. The record is from RNAcentral. Lineage: Bacteria; Bacillati; Bacillota; Bacilli; Caryophanales; Bacillaceae. RNAcentral also lists the same sequence under 1 other name.